CUCCCACAACAAUCCAUCGCCGAAGUACCGAUUAGCUCGUCUUCUCUCCUCUCGAAUCUCAGCCAGGAAGCGAGCACGAUUUUGGAGUGGAUGUCGACGGCGUGCUGCCGAGCCGAACGGAGACUCCGCCGGAGCAUCUUCGGGUCGGGUAGAGCAUCUUCGGGUCAGGUAGCCCGCGGAAGACGGCGGACUGUUCCAGAUAGAGUCCGGAUUUCUCCGCCUCGGAGCAAUCCUCAAUCCUACGGUACAUAUCGGAUAGGGUUUCGACCAUGUCCAGCGGCUUCAGCCAUGGCUCGAUCUGUGGCUCGAGGAGAUCCGUCUCCGGUAAGCCUCGAGAUAGCAGAUUUUCAACGGCGACGUCAGGCGUGUCCUGGAUGAGUUUAUAAACUUCCAUAGACCUCUCUUCGCCGCCGCAGCUCGGAACCCCUCCGCCGCCAGAGCCGCCUUUAGACGAAUUGAAAGCAUAAACCUGAGA
Molecule: long non-coding RNA, 475 nt
Filed under: Linum usitatissimum (flax)
Lineage: Eukaryota; Viridiplantae; Streptophyta; Magnoliopsida; Malpighiales; Linaceae
Description: long non-coding RNA (LUSI_LNC003065)
Source: RNAcentral